GACGAACGCUGGCGGCGUGCUUAACACACGCAAGUCGAACGGUAAGGCCCUUCGGGGUACACGAGUGGCGAACGGGUGAGUAACACGUGGGUGAUCUGCCAUGCACUUCGGGAUAAGCCUGGGAAACUGGGUCUAAUACCGGAUAGGACUCCGGACUGCAUGGUCUGGGGUGGAAAGCUUUUGCGGUGGGGGAUGGGCCCGCGGCCUAUCAGCUUGUUGGUGGGGUGAUGGCCUACCAAGGCGACGACGGGUAGCCGGCCUGAGAGGGUGACCGGCCACACUGGGACUGAGAUACGGCCCAGACUCCUACGGGAGGCAGCAGUGGGGAAUAUUGCACAAUGGGCGCAAGCCUGAUGCAGCGACGCCGCGUGAGGGAUGACGGCCUUCGGGUUGUAAACCUCUUUCAGCAUCGACGAAGCGAAAGUGACGGUAGGUGCAGAAGAAGGACCGGCCAACUACGUGCCAGCAGCCGCCGUUAA
Molecule: ribosomal RNA, 479 nt
Filed under: uncultured bacterium
Lineage: Bacteria
Description: partial 16S ribosomal RNA
Rfam family: Bacterial small subunit ribosomal RNA
Source: RNAcentral